UGUUAAGCACACACAUAAGGAGGAGG
This 26-nucleotide non-coding RNA is filed under the name Mus musculus (house mouse). Lineage: Eukaryota; Metazoa; Chordata; Mammalia; Rodentia; Muridae. The record is from RNAcentral.